GAAUUUUGCGCAAUGGGCGAAAGCCUGACGCAGCAAUACCGCGUGAGUGAUGAAGGCUCUUGGGUCGUAAAGCUCUGUCAGAGGGGAAGAACCUUCUGUCAUAUAAUACAUGACAGGCCUGACGGUACCCUCAGAGGAAGCACCGGCUAACUCCGUGCCAGCAGCCGCGGUAAUACGGAGGGUGCAAACGUUGUUCGGAAUUAUUGGGCGUAAAGAGCAUGUAGGCGGUCUGUCAAGUCUGAUGUGAAAGCCCGGGGCUCAACCCCGGAAGUGCAUUGGAAACUGGCAGACUUGAGUACGGGAGAGGAAAGUGGAAUUUCGAGUGUAGGGGUGAAAUCCGUAGAUAUUCGAAGGAACACCAGUGGCGAAGGCGGCUUUCUGGACCGAUACUGACGCUGAGAUGCGAAAGCGUGGGGAGCAAACAGGAUUAGAUACCCUGGUAGUGCACGCCGUAAACGAUGGGUACUAAGUGUUGCGGGUAUUGACCCCUGCAGGGCCAAAGCUAACGCAUUAAGUACCCCGCCUGGGGAGUACGGCCGCAAGGCUAAAACUCAAAGGAAUUGACG
Molecule: ribosomal RNA, 566 nt
Filed under: uncultured bacterium
Lineage: Bacteria
Description: bacterial SSU rRNA
Rfam family: Bacterial small subunit ribosomal RNA
Source: RNAcentral